AAUGAUUUCAGAUUUUACUGUGCGAGUAGUCGGUGUGAAAAGGAUGAGACAAUACAACAGAAAUUAAAGAAAGCCAUUUAGGUUUGGAACAACAUGAAGACAUUUUGGCUCAACUGCCGUUUGAGAUCCCACAACGUGCUUUUAUGCGCGAGGAACAACACAAGCACUGUGCAUUUGCAUUGCAGCGUGCUAUAUUCCUCGUGGGAUUAAUAAAGUGUCUGUCAUGUUAGAAGUGUAACUCACCGAUUUGGACACUGCUGGGAAAAGCCCCUUCACUGAGUCCCCACAGCAGCGGAAUCAACACCAGGAUCCGC
Long non-coding RNA from Megalobrama amblycephala (Wuchang bream), 314 nucleotides. RefSeq lists it as uncharacterized. The transcript has 4 exons. The record is from RefSeq and is a predicted model, not a curated record. Lineage: Eukaryota; Metazoa; Chordata; Actinopteri; Cypriniformes; Xenocyprididae.